AGAGUUUGAUCCUGGCUCAGGACAAACGCUGGCGGCGUGCCUAACACAUGCAAGUCGAACGGGGGGAGCGGGUUCGCCCGCUUCUCGAGUGGCGGACGGGUGCGUAACACGUGGAUAACCUGCCCUGCGGUGGGGGAUACCCUGCAGAAAUGCGGGCUAAGACCGCAUACGGUGAUUGGGGGCGACCCUGAUCAGGAAAA
This 200-nucleotide ribosomal RNA is filed under the name uncultured bacterium. Its description in RNAcentral is "partial 16S ribosomal RNA". It matches the Rfam family "Bacterial small subunit ribosomal RNA", at positions 8 to 206 of the family's 1533-position model. The record is from RNAcentral.